GUCUAAGGCCAUAGCACCCUGAACGCGCCCUAUCUCAUCUGAUCUCGGAAGUCUAAGCAGGGUCGGGCCUGGUUAGUACUUGGGUGGGAGACCGCCUGGGCAUACCGGGUGCUGUAGGCU
This 120-nucleotide ribosomal RNA is filed under the name Bos taurus (domestic cattle). Lineage: Eukaryota; Metazoa; Chordata; Mammalia; Artiodactyla; Bovidae. The record is from RNAcentral.